Long non-coding RNA from Drosophila elegans, 2058 nucleotides. RefSeq lists it as uncharacterized. The record is from RefSeq and is a predicted model, not a curated record. The transcript is spliced from 4 exons. NCBI's taxonomy places the organism in Eukaryota, Metazoa, Arthropoda, Insecta, Diptera, Drosophilidae.
ACAAAAUUUACACCAUUACGGCGAGCAACGGAAGAAACAUAGUCAAAGCAGUGGGACUUCCCAACACUUCGAUUUUGAGGGUGCAGACAACGAAGAAGCUGCUGGUGAGGAUCUCGACGAAGAAGGACUGCUGACCAAUAUCGAAAUUGUAGGGGUGUGGACCCGAUUUUAUAAUUAAAAAAUAUAUAAUUUUUCGAGGAACUAAGGCUUUCUAGUUCCGAAAUAGUCUGGCAGCCUUGUUACCUCAGAAAAUACUAAACGAUAUGUUCGUAAUUUCCAACACUACUUGUCAAAUUCCUUGGGGCCAGCCAUCGCCAUUUGCGCUUUUGUUCUUCUAAUUCUGAGCAUUCGUAAAAAGCACACGCGCUUUACCUUUUAUAAGUGUUCUUCACAAGCCAGAACUCUAUAACCGCCGAACUUUUGCGCCAGCUUCAACUGUUGUUAAAUCAACAAGGAAUUUGACGGGAGUGGCGAGAUUUAGUGUGGAUUCGUAGUCAAUGCGAUUUUGAUCGCGGCCCUAACAUCUAACGAGUCGUAUUACCACGAAAUAAGGAACGCCAAACUUGCGUGAAACGGUAUUGCCUGUAGCUUUUUUGGGGAUCUUGGCGGCCACCGCGUGGAGCCGGCGUGAGCUUCGAGUCAAACUGCGUAUCGAUCUCAACCCCAACACCUGCACCAGGGAUCACAGCAAGUUGGCCUUGCAGAAUCUUGGCUGACACUGCGUGGAGACGACGUUAACCUCGACUCAGGAAUCUUGGCUGCUACCGCGUGGAGCCGGCCUAAAUCUCGAGUCGAGCCGCGCGCCAUCUAUAACCUCCGAUACAUUUUCAUUAAUCCUGCCCAGCGAACACAGCUGUCGACUCCGCUCAAACCCAGUUUGGAAAAUUCUGAACCACCAUAUAUCGUCACGUUUCGCAAUCUGCAUGUCUCCGUAUAACCAAAGACGUUGUUUUCUAAUUUUUAUGUACUCUAAUCCUAAAAUAAUACUAAUCAAUAAGAAAUGUUUUAUCGAGAGAAGGGUAUUGUAUGUGUAUUUGGCCUUAGAUUGAUUCUAUUCUAACAAUGUUAUGAAAUCCUCACAACAAUUAACAGGAAGUCCACCGGCCUGUUGACUACGUUAGAAUUUCAGCUGUCAAAGAAGGUUGUAUUUAAUAAACGAGGAAUCAUUGCCACAAACACUGUUGGAUGUUGCGACUCGUUGGAAUACAACAUACAAUAUGAUGAGCAAGUUGCAAUAAAAAAUUUGGCAGCAAAUGAGUGGAGUGCUGUAAGAAGGCUCGUCGAUACCGUCUAACCAGCGUAUAUUGCCACUGAGAAGACACAAUUGUUUAUGGGUGACUUCUACAAGCUAAGGCUUGAGCUCAAGCCACCUGUUGCAGCAGCGGAUAGCACUGAAAGCCAGACAUUGAUCCAGUGCAUCCGUGAAAGGGAAGAGUGCUUUUUGGGGUGUAAGCCUAAAUUUGCAGCAUACACUUGGACACACGCAUCAGACGAGUUUUACUACAAAUCCAAUUAGCGUAAUGCUCUCCAGAGCUUAUUUUAAACCUAUUUCAAUUGAAAAAAACAGUAUUUAUGUAAUUUAUUAAUUUAAACUUAUAAUUUAUGAAGAUAUCAUUGCAGACUUCACAGCCUUCCUGCAGUACGUCAAACGCAUCAACGUUGUUUGAGGCUGAUAAUUUAUUAGUUUUGCAAAGCUCGAACACCUAUUCGUUAUUAAACGAGUUCUUGCAAGCGAAUGACGUAGCUUCAGAGGAUGAAACUGAUGGUGGACCAACGAAAAAAAUUAGGAAGCGGAACAACGAAACUUACGGCUAUAGCCUUAAGCCAAUAUGAUCAACCACCAAUAUAAUGGAGUACUGGGAUUAAAAGAAUUCUUAUACCCUAAUUUAUACCAGCUGAUCAAAGUGGUACAUUCAGUUCCUGCAACUCAAGUGAGCGUUGAAAAAUCAUUUUUGACACUCAAAAUGAUGCUCACAGACCAACGAUGCAACCUUGGUGAAGAAUCAUUGGCUAAUUUAUUUUUUGUAAAGCUAAUUAAUAAAUAAACUUAAAAAUAAA